RNAcentral lists this unclassified non-coding RNA (116 nucleotides) under uncultured Glomeromycotina. RNAcentral describes it as "sequence contains ITS1". The record is from RNAcentral. Lineage: Eukaryota; Fungi; Glomeromycota.
AAAAAAAGAAUCGAAAGAUUCGCUUUUUUUAAAACUCUACUAUUAAAUAGUAGAGUUUUUUUCAAACUCUUGUAUACAAUUAUCGUCGUUUGACGAAAUCCAAAAUUAAAUAAAAA